RNAcentral lists this ribosomal RNA (114 nucleotides) under Triticum aestivum (bread wheat). RNAcentral describes it as "partial small subunit ribosomal RNA". The stretch from base 1 to 78 matches the Rfam family "tRNA". Rfam says of the family: Transfer RNA (tRNA) molecules are approximately 80 nucleotides in length. Their secondary structure includes four short double-helical elements and three loops (D, anti-codon, and T loops). Lineage: Eukaryota; Viridiplantae; Streptophyta; Magnoliopsida; Poales; Poaceae. The record is from RNAcentral.
AUGGCCGAGUGGUCUAAGGCGCCAGACUCAAGUUCUGGUCCUCUUACGAGGGCGUGGGUUCAAACCCCACUUCUGACAUUUUCUUUCUUUCUUUUUGGCUCAAUAAAAAUAUGA